UGAACAGACGUGAGGUGGUCAACGCAGGCGAGUGAAAAGCACAAGAGGGUUGAGGCACAGCAGGUAAAGCACGCACACGCAGCAGUGGCGCCGCAUACGCGCCUGCACAGGUCCUCACGCACACACUCCCGAUUCUUCACGGGACUCUAUCUGGCGCGUGCCUGUGUCUCCGCUCCACCUUUUUUUUUUUUCGUUGCCGCCCAUCACUCGUAUCGCCGCUACCACAUCGACAAGAGGAGGAGGAAGGUGGAGGCGCAGCCCUUUUCUCUGCCGCACACGCACCCCCCCCCCCCCCCUGCCCCACCGGCUCUCUCCACACCCACGCCCCGAGCUGGCCGUACGCAUUGUGAGACAGACACGCAUACGCGCAUAGACGUAAAAGGAAGUGAUCUACACUUGUGCAUAGACGACGAAGGGCUUUCACCGCUUCCCCCCCCCCCCCCCUACCGCCUCACCAUCGCCAUCCGGCUAUCCCGCUCGUGCGUGCGUGACGCAGUCGUCUCGACGUUUUUCCUUUCUCCACACAGCAGCCGCCACCCUCUUGCUUCGGUUUCCAUUCCCGUUUUGCGUGCGCACGCACGCCGACGAGCACGUUAACCGGUUUCGCGUCCACGGCACGCACGACAGCAACAACAAAAUACACAGUCACAGCGGCACGUCACGGCAACUGCCAUCAUCGCCACGACGAAGUCCGGCACAUCGGCGUGGGUGAAUGGUGGCGUGCAGUGCGUGAGGGAGAAGCGGUGCUACAACUCCAUAGAAGAAGUUCCGAGAGGACGUCGGAGGAACGCAACGUGCGCGGCCGCCGUGGCUGUAGCAAGCGUAGCCCCGCCGACAACCGCGACGUCGACGUGCUUGUGUGUGUGUGCGCGAUAAAGCUGGGGGGCGAGGGGCACGUACGCGGCUGAAGCACUGGUACGGCGGCUGUCCAGCACCUGCGUGCAUGCGUUGCCGAGUCUGAGCCCGUCGGUCUCUCUCUCUUCCUCCCCGCCGUCGCCACCGCGGGUGCUUGUAGGCGCCCGUGCGUUCUGCGCAGCAGCUGAGCGGACGCAUCGGCGUAAAAUACACGAGAAGCUCGAGGCCUUCCACACACCGCGAGAAAGCCGCACACAUACACGCAUACACACAUGUAGGUGUGCGCAUGCGCACCCACUCCCGCACGCAUCAGAAACGAAGACAGGGCGCCGAAUAGAAGGGGGAGCUUGUGCGGGUGCCGGUGCUGCUUCCGCCACGGUGCCCCCUUCACACCUACACUUACACAAACACACACAGGCACCGAAACCCCAUACACUAUCCAGAGGUCCAGCCAUCACCGUUCAAGCCCUCCCUCCCAACAACGAAAUUUUUAGCCUAGAAAGCGAAAAAAAGCGAAUGCGGAUUUUCCUCAGCUCGGCUGUGCCGCGCACAGGGUGGAGUCUCCGUCGCCGCCGUGCUGACCCACUCUGCGUAGUGGCCGCCGCUCUCGUUGCGGCAUCUCUGUCGUGCGCCGACGGCCAGCGUCUCAUUCAUGGGCCGCCGCGGUUGUCUUCGACGUGGCGGCGCGGUGCUAGGCGUCUGCCAGGGCCCUCUGCGUUCCUGCCUGCCUCAUCGGCGGUAGCGGCGUCGCUAACAGCGCAGUGCCGCGGCGUUUCGAGCACGACGAGCACAUCAGCUGAUGCAACUGCUGCCGCUGCUUCUGCUGCUGCUGCCGUCGCCGCCUUGUCAACGGGGACGAAGUUGCGCCAUCGCCGCGGCGCUCAUCGCAAGCGCGGCCGUGUCUCGGCGACGGCAGCGGCGGCGACCACGCCGCCCCUCAAUGCGCCGCUCGGGGAUGGCGCGAACGGCAGCUUCUCCGUUGUCGAUCCUGUUGUGCCGGCGUCUGUGCUGGUCAACCCAUCAAACACAUCCAGCGAACCGCUCAGGCGACGAGCGGUCAAGAGCAGUGACGCAGCGGUGACAGAUGCGCGCCUGCGUGCAUUGGGCGAUACCGAAGCCGAGGCGGAGCCACCGGCGGUCACCGCUGCCGCUCACCUCAACGGCUUUGGCAAAUCCGCUAAUAAGCCUUCGACGACCCCUCAGCCAGCUGGCGAGGCGGAUGCUGCUGAGUCGGUGCCCGCACCAUCCGUGACGGCUGUCGUUGCCGCUGAGAUGCCCUCGCCUUGCCGCAAAAGGAAAAGCGGCACGGCAAAGAGGGGUACCAGGGGCCGCCGCGCGGCGGUGGAGACGACUGUGGAGCUGGUCGCUGUUGCUGCAGCUCCUGCUGCCGCUUCUAGCCCUGCUGCUGCGACGCUGUUAGCAAAGGCGCCAGCCGAGGCAAUCAAAAUGGCCGCUGCGGUCUCACGCGAAAGGCUAUCGCGAGGCCUAAAUAAAAGGCGCUCGAGGCGCAGCGGAGCUGGUACCGUCACGGCUGCCUCUGCUGGCGACGCCGAGGCGGACGAGGUCGUGACUGCCGGCGUCACAGUGGUGCCAUCUGUCGCUGUCAACCCUAACCUCGCAUCUUCAUUGACGGCAGGCGCCGUUGAAGGGGAAGGUGGCACACCCUCAGUCGACCCGGUGAGAGCCGCAGCCCUGCCGCCGGCCCCACAGCACCUGGAUGCCACUGGUCGUGUGGUCGCGUCCGAUGCCGACGCUGUUGAGGGGCGCGUGAGCAGCGGCAGCAGGAAACGUAUAGCGCGGCAAGCGAGGCAGAAAUACGUCGAGGAGCCGGCGAACGCGAGGAGCUCGGGAGUCGUUCUGGACAAUGACAAGGACGGUAGUGCUGCUGAUGUGGACAAGGAUCCAGAUGAAAUCAGCGAGGAUGGUGGUGCCCGACCCAGUGGUCGGCCCAGGCGAGCCAGCUCACGCACCCGAAGUGGCAAGCGGCUGCGCGCCAAGGCACCGACAGCUGCCGCCAGCACUCUGGUAGAAGACGCCAUCGCGGCUUCUGUGGCCAAGGCGGUCGCUGAGGGCGUUAUAGGCGCUGCAGGGCAAGCACCAGCGACUGGCGCGGCGACGGCAGGAGGGGCCACGUUGGCGUCCUUCUCGCUUCUCACUGCGGCAACGUCCCACAAGCCCGCGAGCAAGACCACCACCACGACCACGACCAUCACGACUGCAGACACUAAGGUGCCAUGCUCUCCCACCGCCGAGGUGGAGUCGUUGGAGCCGAAGACGGAUGCCGACGGCGAAGGUCCAGUAGAGGCCAUCAGCUCCACUGCUGCCUCUCGCGCGCCCAGGAACAGGGAGCGGGCUGGAGGCAAACGGAUGAAGAAGAGACUUCUUGCACCUGCCGCCGUCGCCGCGGCCUCGGCAGCGGUAGUGGCGGCACCACCACCACCCAUGGCGGCUGCUGCGGACGAUGGGAAGACGGCAACGACACCGCGGCCGGCGGACUCGUUCAAGAGGCUCUUCGAUACCGUCGACGCCGCGAAGGGGAUCUCCUCUCUUGCCUUGAAAAAGCGUCUCGCCGCGCAGAUCGUUCGUCGCCGCUGGCAGCUGCAGCGGGGGCUCACGCUGUCCCCGCAAGCCCUCCUUUCCACCGCCACACCGGCAGCAGACGAAGCAGGCGUUAUGGCAACCUCAGCAGCAGCCAAGGCCGACGAGGGGGCAGCGGCGGUGACGGCGCCUAAGUCGUCUGCACCUUCGCCGACAUCGCCGCGCCGACGUCUGCUGCAAGGAAAGAAGUCGGCUUCGCUUGAAGCGUCUGCGUCGUCACCGAUAGCGGCUGCGCCUCUACCGGAAAAGCCGGCGCAGAGCGACGAGGCAGCCGUCGCAGGUGGUGCCAAGUCGAAGAGCCGUAUCACCAAGAAGGGUGGCAAGCGUGGCGGAUCGGCGGCAAGGAAAAAUAGCGGGCACACGGUUGCCAUGGCUGCAGCAGCGUCCGUUGCACCCGUGGCGGAGCCGACCAAGGCUGCUGAGGUCGAGGAUCCUGCCAGUGACGCAGAUCGAGAGGCGGAUGUGGCGGCGGCAAUGGCAGCAGCGGUGGAGCUGGUGUCAAAGCCGGAGGUCAUCGAUGACGAGUUCUCGCUAGCACCGCAGGCGUGCGACGAUGCCGCUGCCCAUGCGACGCCGAAGUCGCACUCUCCAUCUGCCCUCGCCGCCGGCCGCGCAUCGCAGCAGCAGGAGCUGCUUCAGAGUGCCGGCGUCUCGAAGGUAGCUUACGGCGCCAGUGGCGGCAGCAGCGCUAACGGAUCGGGCAAUCAUGCCGGCAGUAGCGGCAGCAGCAACGGUGGCAAGGGCGGCAAAGGUGCGAAUUCGAAGGACACGCUCUUCUUCCCCGACUACCGCGAGCGCGUCGUGCAGAUAUUUGAGCAGCUGACGCAGAUCAACAGUGCCCUCGGCGAGCGCUUCAAGUCGCAGUUGUACGGGCGCACGGUAGAACGCUUCAAGCGCGGCGACAAGGUAUUUCAGCUGCUGCCGCCGAACCUGCUGCCGCUGCCCGAGGAAGACCCGAAGAAAAAGGCGAUAAUCGAGGCGCUCUACAAGGACGACCCCGCGGCGCAGAAGAAGCGCGUGGAGGAGGUGGAGCGCAACCGGGCGAAGCGCAGUCUUGUGCUCUCCUCCGACAACCUCAUCCCAGGCCUGGGGACGAAGCUGCGGGAGAAAGUAAUCGAAAUCCUGGUGACGGGUGGCUUGGAGGAGCUGCACCGGCAGGAGGCGAAGCCAAUCAUUCGCGCCAUCCGAGAGCUCACACAGGUGCACGGCGUCGGCCCGCGCACCGCUAUCGACUACUUCAAGAAGUACGGCAUCAGCACCGUCGCGCAGCUUCGCGACUACGCCAUCAAGGCAGGGGAGCUCGACAUGAGCAACAAGGACAGCGGCAAGCCGUCGAAUCUCGUGGUCUGUGCUGACAAGUCCAAGUUCCACUUGAACGACGCGCAGCGGCUCGGGCUUGUCUACUACGAGGACAUGUGCCACCGCAUCCCGCACGAAGAGGGCCGCCUGCACGAGGCUUUCAUGAAGCUGCGCAUGCGAAAGUACCUUGGCAAGGACUACGAGCUCGUUGUGUGUGGUAGCUACCGUCGUCAAGUUGAGUCCGCUGGUGACAUCGAUGUGCUCAUUACACACAAGCGCAGCGCGACGGAGGGCGGUGGCCGUCCUUUGUUACCACCGUCGGAGGUGCUUGGCUCGUUCCUCGCUGGGCUCAAGGCGGACAAGUACAUCGAGGCUACGCUGGCGCAGGGGCCGACGAAGUUCAUGGGGCUGUGCCGUCUGCGCGCGAUGGGCACCGAAUCUGUAUCGGCUGCUACGGGCAAGGGCAAGACAGCGAAGACGAACGGCAAGGCGCCAACCAAGUUCCGCGCGCGCCGCCUCGAUGUCCGCUAUGUGGACUCGGACAGCUUCCCUGCAGCGAUGCUUUACUUCACCGGCAGCAAGAACUUCAACGUCAUUAUGCGCAGCGAAGCCAUCAAGAAGCACUGCGUCCUCAACGAGUACGGCCUCUUCCGCAAGCCGACGCGCAAGCAGAUGCAGCACUACGGUGUUGUGCAGAAGAACCCGGAUAUGAGCUUCCACGACAUGAUCACCCGCCUCGCUCGCUUCGACCUCUCCGCCAUCAAGGACGAGGAGAAUGAGCUCGCCAGCGGAUCGUCGGCCGAAGCUGGAGGCGGGGCUAGCGGUGCGACUGCUGCCGGGAGCGGUGCCAGCGGCGACGCAGACGGUGCGGCAUCAAAGAAGGUGACGGCUGCGUUCAAGAAGAUCAAGAAGAAGGGGAAGGAGAAGACGAAGCAGGAGCUCGCCGAGCUGCGUGAGAUGGCGAAGAUUGUGGAGCGGCAGCGGGUUAAGGCGAGCACGGAGCGCGAGAUCUUCGAGGCGCUGGGCAUGGACUACGUCCCUCCAAAAGACCGCAGCGUUUAAGGAGGAUGCGAGUGCCUGCACGUGUGUGUCUCGGCAGUUCUUCUGCUACGAGAGAAGUUGUUUCACGGCUCUUCGACUUCUCCUUGUCGCAUGUCGGCUCGCAUGCGCAUGCAUGCGCGCUCGUGUGUCUGAGAGUGUGUGUGUUUGUGUUUCCGUGUGUGUGUGUGUGCGUGUGUGUAUGGGAGGGGGGCGUACCGCGUAGAUGAGCUCAUAGAUACGGACGGCGUGCGAGAGGGCUCGCGACGAGGCGGCUGAGCUGCAAAGUGCCGCGCGCUCGUGCGCGCAUGUGUGAAUGUGACUGGUGAUGAGCGCGUCGGGUUGCCGACGCCGUUGCGCAUUUUUCGCGUGCGUGCGUCUCACUGAUAACAUUUGCGUGAGCUUGUGCUCUCUGUUUGAAUGAACAACACCGAGGCGAAGGAGGCUGGGUGAGGGGGGGGGUGGUGGUGGUGGUGGUGGCAGAGGCCAGAGGUGAAGGAACAAGGAGAGCAACAGAGCCAGCGGACUGCGCGCACGGAGCAAGAGGAGUGCGCCCCGACAUCAAAGCAUUACCUGCGUGUGCGUGCACUUGUGUGUAGGUGUUUGCCCCCUCCCCCCUCGCUCUCUCGCCUUUCAGGGGUGGGUGGUGGUGGUGGUGGUGGGGAGGACACCUCCACGCGAUGGCUUACCGCUGGCAGAGGCGUCACCAAAGAGGGAGGGCGAGGGCAGAUCGGAGUAGUCCGCUCACUAUCUGUUCGCGUCCUCACGACCACCGCUCUCUGCCGCCUCUGUUCUUCUCUCCCUCCCCUAUUAUAUCUCGCGCAGACCCUCUCUCUGACCGCACCAUUGCUGCCACUUCGACUGUUGCCGAACACCGAUGCUGAGCUCCCCCCGUAUGACCACCGUGACCUCGUGCAACUGCCUUCGCGCUCUGUCCAGAUGUGCGUUGAAAACGGCCACAAUCUUCCUCUUCCUCUUCCUCUUCGACGCCCUACUCACUCGUUCUCUGCCUCUGCCCACGUUGCCGGCGCCGCACGAGCACAG
This 6834-nucleotide unclassified non-coding RNA is filed under the name Leishmania donovani. Its description in RNAcentral is "gene:LdHU3.08.1180(CDS-product:mitochondrial_DNA_ polymerase_beta-PAK_putative)". The record is from RNAcentral. Lineage: Eukaryota; Euglenozoa; Kinetoplastea; Trypanosomatida; Trypanosomatidae.